This 484-nucleotide ribosomal RNA is filed under the name Sphingomonas sp. RNAcentral's name for it is "bacterial SSU rRNA". It matches the Rfam family "Bacterial small subunit ribosomal RNA", at positions 853 to 1368 of the family's 1533-position model. Lineage: Bacteria; Pseudomonadati; Pseudomonadota; Alphaproteobacteria; Sphingomonadales; Sphingomonadaceae. The record is from RNAcentral.
UAACGCAUAAGUUAUCCGCCUGGGGAGACGGCCGCAAGGUUAAAACUCAAAGGAAUUGACGGCCACAAGCGUGGAGCAUGUGGUUUAAUUCGAAGCAACGCGCAGAACCUUACCAGCGUUUGACAUGGUAGGACGACUUCCAGAGAUGGAUUUCUUCCCUUCGGGGACCUACACACAGGUGCUGCAUGGCUGUCGUCAGCUCGUGUCGUGAGAUGUUGGGUUAAGUCCCGCAACGAGCGCAACCCUCGACUUUAGUUACCAUCAUUAAGUUGGGUACUUUAAAGUAACCGCCGGUGAUAAGCCGGAGGAAGGUGGGGAUGACGUCAAGUCCUCAUGGCCCUUACGCGCUGGGCUACACACGUGCUACAAUGGCAAGUACAGUGGGCAGCAAUCCCGCGAGGGUGAGCUAAUCUCCAAAACUAUCUCAGUUCGGAUGUGUCUGCACUCGCAAGCUGAUCGCAAUCAGUACGAACAAACAAGAAAA